AGAAAAAGAAAACACAGCAGAAAAGCAGAAGGAAACACCUGCGUCGGCGGCCGCCUCCCUCCCUACUCCGGUUUCGCUGGUUGAUCGAUUCGUGGUGGUUAGGUUGGAGCGAGCGAGCUGGUUCGCGAUGUCGGGGCGCAAGGAGACGGUGCUGGACCUGGCCAAGUUCGUCGACAAGGGCGUGCAGGUCAAGCUCACCGGCGGCAGACAAG
Long non-coding RNA from Lolium rigidum, 212 nucleotides. RefSeq lists it as uncharacterized. NCBI's taxonomy places the organism in Eukaryota, Viridiplantae, Streptophyta, Magnoliopsida, Poales, Poaceae. The record is from RefSeq and is a predicted model, not a curated record. The transcript has 3 exons.